Thalassophryne amazonica is the source of this 129-nucleotide long non-coding RNA. RefSeq lists it as uncharacterized. The transcript has 3 exons. The record is from RefSeq and is a predicted model, not a curated record. Lineage: Eukaryota; Metazoa; Chordata; Actinopteri; Batrachoidiformes; Batrachoididae.
AUGAUUUUCAGUGCAAGUGCUGGAAAUUAAAAUGAGAACAUUUUGUGAGUAAUUGGAGUUAUUAUUUGUCACAUUUAGCUGAUGUUAUGUUUUGCAACUGGCAAGGUUGACAUAUUUCUUUUAUUCAGA